This 497-nucleotide ribosomal RNA is filed under the name uncultured bacterium. Its description in RNAcentral is "bacterial SSU rRNA". It matches the Rfam family "Bacterial small subunit ribosomal RNA", at positions 29 to 518 of the family's 1533-position model. The record is from RNAcentral.
AUGAACGCUAGCGACAGGCCUAACACAUGCAAGGUCGAGGGGCAGCACAAGGAGCAAUCUGAGGUGGCGACCGGCGCACGGGUGAGUAACACGUAUGCAACCUGCCUGUAAGCGGGGAAUAACCCGUUGAAAGACGGACUAAUACCGCAUAAUACUAAAUUACUGCAUGGUAAUUUAUUUAAACAUUUAUGGCUUACAGAUGGGCAUGCGCAUGAUUAGCUAGUUGGAGAGGUAACGGCUCCCCAAGGCAACGAUCAUUAGGGGUUCUGAGAGGAAGGUCCCCCACACUGGUACUGAGACACGGACCAGACUCCUACGGGAGGCAGCAGUGAGGAAUAUUGGUCAAUGGACAAGAGUCUGAACCAGCCAAGUCGCGUGCAGGAAGAAUGUCCUUAAUGGAUUGUAAACUGCUUUUGCAGGGGAAUAAAGUGCAUCACGUGUGAUGUUUUGUAUGUACUCUGCGAAUAAGGAUCGGCUAACUCCGUGCCAGCAGCCGC